RNAcentral lists this non-coding RNA (45 nucleotides) under Schistosoma margrebowiei. The record is from RNAcentral. Lineage: Eukaryota; Metazoa; Platyhelminthes; Trematoda; Strigeidida; Schistosomatidae.
AUCCAGCUGACGAGUCUUAAACAGUACGAAACAUGAGUCCUGGAU